This 76-nucleotide transfer RNA is filed under the name Peptococcaceae bacterium. RNAcentral describes it as "tRNA-Ala". It matches the Rfam family "tRNA". From Rfam's summary of the family: Transfer RNA (tRNA) molecules are approximately 80 nucleotides in length. The record is from RNAcentral. Lineage: Bacteria; Bacillati; Bacillota; Clostridia; Eubacteriales; Peptococcaceae.
GGGGGUGUAGCGCAGCUGGGAGCGCGCUUGACUGGCAGUCAAGAGGUCAGGGGUUCGAUCCCCCUCAUCUCCACCA